GACGAACGCUGGCGGCGUGCUUAACAUGCAAGUCGCACGGAAAGGCCCUGCUUUUGUGGGGUGAACGAGUGGCGAACGGGUGAGUAACACGUGAGUAACCUGCCCUCGACUUUGGGAUAACUUCAGGAAACUGGGGCUAAUACCGGAUAGGAGCUCCUGCUGCACGGUGGGGGUUGGAAAGCUUCGGCGGUUGGGGAUGGACUCGCGGCUUAUCAGCUUGUUGGUGGGGUAGUGGCCUACCAAGGCUUUGACGGGUAGCCGGCCUGAGAGGGUGACCGGCCACAUUGGGACUGAGAUACGGCCCAGACUCCUACGGGAGGCAGCAGUGGGGAAUAAUGCACAAUGGGCGGAAGCCUGAUGCAGCAACGCCGCGUGCGGGAUGACGGCCUUCGGGUUGUAAACCGCUUUCGCCUGUGACGAAGCGUGAGUGACGGUAAUGGGUAAAGAAGCACCGGCUAACUACGUG
Molecule: ribosomal RNA, 466 nt
Filed under: uncultured bacterium
Lineage: Bacteria
Description: partial 16S ribosomal RNA
Rfam family: Bacterial small subunit ribosomal RNA
Source: RNAcentral